UACGGAGGGUGCAAGCGUUAUCCGGAUUCACUGGGUUUAAAGGGUGCGUAGGUGGGCAGGUAAGUCAGUGGUGAAAUCUCCGGGCUUAACCCGGAAACUGCCGUUGAUACUAUCUGUCUUGAAUGUUGUUGAGGUUUGCGGAAUGGGUCAUGUAGCGGUGAAAUGCAUAGAUAUGACCCGGAACACCUAUUGCGAAGGCAGCAGGCUAAACAAAUAUUGACGCUGAGGCUCGAAAGCGUGGGGAUCAAACAGG
RNAcentral lists this ribosomal RNA (253 nucleotides) under uncultured bacterium. Its description in RNAcentral is "partial 16S ribosomal RNA". It matches the Rfam family "Bacterial small subunit ribosomal RNA", at positions 524 to 776 of the family's 1533-position model. The record is from RNAcentral.